This 92-nucleotide ribosomal RNA is filed under the name uncultured bacterium. RNAcentral's name for it is "partial 16S ribosomal RNA". It matches the Rfam family "Bacterial small subunit ribosomal RNA", at positions 413 to 521 of the family's 1533-position model. The record is from RNAcentral.
GGCCUUCGGGUCGUAAACCACUGUUCGAAGGGGAAGAUAAUGACGGUACCCUUGGAGGAAGCCCCGGCUAACUACGUGCCAGCAGCCGCGGU